GAUGAACGCUGGCGGCGUGCCUAAUACAUGCAAGUCGAGCGAACAGACGAGGAGCUUGCUCCUCUGACGUUAGCGGCGGACGGGUGAGUAACACGUGGAUAACCUACCUAUAAGACUGGGAUAACUUCGGGAAACCGGAGCUAAUACCGGAUAAUAUAUUGAACCGCAUGGUUCAAUAGUGAAAGACGGUUUUGCUGUCACUUAUAGAUGUAUCCGCGCCGCAUUAGCUAGUUGGUAAGGUAACGGCUUACCAAGGCAACGAUGCGUAGCCGACCUGAGAGGAUGAUCAGCCACACUGGAACUGAGACACGGUCCAGACUCCUACGGGAGGCAGCAGUAGGGAAUCUUCCGCAAUGGGCGAAAGCCUGACGGAGCAACGCCGCGUGAGUGAUGAAGGUCUUCGGAUCGUAAAACUCUGUUAUUAGGGAAGAACAAAUGUGUAAGUAACUAUGCACGUCUUGACGGUACCUAAUCAGAAAGCCACGGCUAACUACGUG
This 497-nucleotide ribosomal RNA is filed under the name uncultured bacterium. RNAcentral's name for it is "partial 16S ribosomal RNA". It matches the Rfam family "Bacterial small subunit ribosomal RNA", at positions 28 to 507 of the family's 1533-position model. The record is from RNAcentral.